ACGAAGCGACUUACACCUGAGCGCCUUUCGAAUUCCUCAGUUCAUUCCUCCUUGGCCUUCAGUGGUCCAAAUGAGAAUAUUAUGAACACACAUAGAAGAUUAGAAUUAGAACUAGGCAGUGGACGACUCCCAAAGAAUGAAGGCAAAUAUUCUGGUUGUCCUAAAUCAAGGAAUUUGUGUCCAUUGCCACUGGAAAUAUCUAAAAAGCAAACACUUACGAGGGAGAGUAACAUUCCUCGUGUUCCUGUAGCUACUUCUAAUCAUAUGAGUCCAGUGAUGGUUUUUUCAAGUGUUGGACCUUCAGUUCCCAGCUCUCUUGGUAAUCACAGAAAUAGCACCCAAGCUCCAGGAUCUGAUUGCCUCAAUGUCUCUUCAGAGCU
Molecule: long non-coding RNA, 380 nt
Filed under: Olea europaea (common olive)
Lineage: Eukaryota; Viridiplantae; Streptophyta; Magnoliopsida; Lamiales; Oleaceae
Description: long non-coding RNA (OEUR_LNC014062)
Source: RNAcentral